RNAcentral lists this ribosomal RNA (369 nucleotides) under uncultured bacterium. Its description in RNAcentral is "bacterial SSU rRNA". It matches the Rfam family "Bacterial small subunit ribosomal RNA", at positions 29 to 393 of the family's 1533-position model. The record is from RNAcentral.
AGUGAACGCUGGCGGCAGGCCUAACACAUGCAAGUCGAACGGCAGCACGGCAGUAGCAAUACUGUGGGUGGCGAGUGGCGGACGGGUGAGGAAUACAUCGGGAUCUACCCUGUUGUGGGGGGAUAACGUAGGGAAACUUACGCUAAUACCGCAUAAGAACUGAGGUUGAAAGCGGCGGACCGCAAGGCGUCGCGCGAUUGGAUGAACCGAUGUCCGAUUAGCUAGUUGGCGGGUAAAGGCCCACCAAGGCGACGAUCGGUAGCUGGUCUGAGAGGACGACCAGCCACACUGGAACUGAGACACGGUCCAGACUCCUACGGGAGGCAGCAGUGGGGAAUAUUGGACAAUGGGCGCAAGCCUGAUCCAGCC